GACGAACGCUGGCGGCGUGCUUAACACAUGCAAGUCGAGCGGUAAGGCCUCUUCGGGGGUACACGAGCGGCGAACGGGUGAGUAACACGUGGGUGACCUGCCCUCAGCUCUGGGAUAAGCCUGGGAAACUGGGUCUACUACCGGAUAUGACCACAUGAUGCAUGGUGUGUGGUGGAAAGUUGUUUCGGCUGGGGAUGGGACCGGGGCCUAUCAGCUUGUUGGUUGGGUGAUGGGCUACCAAGGCGACGACGGGUAGCCGGCCUGAGAGGGCGACCGGCCACACUGGGACGGAGACGCGGCACAGACUCCUACGGGAGGCAGCGGUGGAGAAGAUUGCGCAAGGGGCGGAGGCCUGACGCAGCGACGCCGCGUGGGGGAUGACGGGCUUCGGGUUGUAAACCUCUUUCGACCGGGACGAAGCGUAAGUGACGGUACCGGUAGAAGAAGCACCGGCUAACUACGUG
RNAcentral lists this ribosomal RNA (464 nucleotides) under uncultured bacterium. Its description in RNAcentral is "partial 16S ribosomal RNA". It matches the Rfam family "Bacterial small subunit ribosomal RNA", at positions 28 to 507 of the family's 1533-position model. The record is from RNAcentral.